Arabidopsis thaliana x Arabidopsis arenosa is the source of this 79-nucleotide non-coding RNA. The record is from the annotation of a GenBank genome assembly. Lineage: Eukaryota; Viridiplantae; Streptophyta; Magnoliopsida; Brassicales; Brassicaceae.
AACCUAUGGUGGGGGCAUUCCCUGUAGUAAUCGUUGAACCGCUCCCAAGCUUCCUAGAGGAGAUCUUAUUCCUCAAAAU